RNAcentral lists this ribosomal RNA (468 nucleotides) under uncultured bacterium. Its description in RNAcentral is "partial 16S ribosomal RNA". It matches the Rfam family "Bacterial small subunit ribosomal RNA", at positions 28 to 507 of the family's 1533-position model. The record is from RNAcentral.
GACGAACGCUGGCGGCGUGCUUAACACAUGCAAGUCGAACGGAAAGGCCCUGCUUUUGUGGGGUGCUUGAGGGGCGAACGGGUGAGUAACACGUGAGUAACCUGCCCCUUACUUUGGGAUAACUUCAGGUAACGGGGGCUAAUACCGGAUAGGAGCUCCUGCUGCAUGGUGGGGGUUGGAAAGUGUCGGCGGUUGGGGAUGGACUCGCGGCUUAUCAGCUUGUUGGGGGGGUAGUGGCUUACCAAGGCUCUGGCGGGUAGCCGGCCUGGGAGGGUGACCGGCCAAAUUGGGACUGGGUUAGGGCCAGGACUCCUACGGGGGGAAGCGGUGGGAAAUAUUGCACAAUGGGCGGAGGCCGGAGGCAGCAACGCCGGGUGGGGAAUGACGGCCUUCGGGUUGUAACCCGCUUUCGCCUGUGACGAGGCGUGAGUGACGGUAAUGGGUAAAGAAGCACCGGCUAACUACGUG